Molecule: ribosomal RNA, 462 nt
Filed under: uncultured bacterium
Lineage: Bacteria
Description: partial 16S ribosomal RNA
Rfam family: Bacterial small subunit ribosomal RNA
Source: RNAcentral
GACGAACGCUGGCGGCGUGCUUAACACAUGCAAGUCGAGCGACGCUCUUCCUUCGGGGAGAUGACGGAGCGGCGAACGGGUGAGUAACACGUGGGCAACCUGCCCCUAGCUCUGGGACAACACCGGGAAACCGGUGCUAAUACCGGAUACGACAUCGAGCGGCAUCUCUCGAUGUGGAAAGUUUUUUCGGCUAGGGAUGGGCCCGCGGCCUAUCAGCUUGUUGGUGGGGUAAUGGCCCACCAAGGCGACGACGGGUAGCCGGCCUGAGAGGGCGACCGGCCACACUGGGACUGAGACACGGCCCAGACUCCUACGGGAGGCAGCAGUGGGGAAUAUUGCGCAAUGGGCGAAAGCCUGACGCAGCGACGCCGCGUGAGGGAUGACGGCCUUCGGGUUGUAAACCUCCUUCAGCAGGGACGAAUUCAGACGGUACCUGCAGAAGAAGCACCGGCCAACUACGUG